ACGAACGCUGGCGGCGUGCUUAACACAUGCAAGUCGAACGGAAAGGCCCAGCUUGCUGGGUACUCGAGUGGCGAACGGGUGAGUAACACGUGGGUGAUCUGCCCUGGACUCUGGGAUAAGCCUGGGAAACUGGGUCUAAUACCGGAUAUUCACUUUCUCUCGCAUGGGGGUUGGUGGAAAGCUUUUGCGGUUCAGGAUGGGCCCGCGGCCUAUCAGCUUGUUGGUGGGGUAAUGGCCUACCAAGGCGACGACGGGUAGCCGACCUGAGAGGGUGAUCGGCCACACUGGGACUGAGACACGGCCCAGACUCCUACGGGAGGCAGCAGUGGGGAAUAUUGCACAAUGGGCGCAAGCCUGAUGCAGCGACGCCGCGUGAGGGAUGACGGCCUUCGGGUU
Molecule: ribosomal RNA, 396 nt
Filed under: Gordonia columbarii
Lineage: Bacteria; Bacillati; Actinomycetota; Actinomycetes; Mycobacteriales; Gordoniaceae
Description: bacterial SSU rRNA
Rfam family: Bacterial small subunit ribosomal RNA
Source: RNAcentral